UUGAAUAAGUUUGGUUAGGUUGUUGCUGGCUCUUAGGAGUAUGUGCACGCCUACGCCAUCUUUAACCACUGUGCACUUUGUGUAGAUUUGGGUGCUUGAGAAUUGCUUAGGCUGUUCUCGUACCUGGGUCUAUGUUUUUAUACACUCUUAAAGUCGUAGAAUGCUGUAUAUAGGCCUCUGUGCCUUUAAAUACAAAACAACUUUCAACAACGGAUCUCUUGGCUCUCGCAUCGAUGAAGAACGCAGCGAAAUGCGAUAAGUAAUGUGAAUUGCAGAAUUCAGUGAAUCAUCGAAUCUUUGAACGCACCUUGCGCUCCUUGGUAUUCCGAGGAGCAUGCCUGUUUGAGUGUCAUUAAAUUAUCAACUUCAUUAUCUUUUGCGAGUUAAUGAGGCUUGGAUAUUGGAAGUUGCUGGCUUCUCUGAAAUCAGCUCUUCUUAAAUAUAUUAGCAGAACCUUUGCUGUGUAUCUUUGGUAUGAUAAUUAUCUAUAUCAUAGACAUUCAGUGCCCUUCAUUGGGAAGGUUUCGCUUCUAAUCGUCCAUUUGGACAACAUUUGACAAUUUGACCUCAAAUCAGGUAGGAUUACCCGCUGA
This 593-nucleotide ribosomal RNA is filed under the name Entoloma coelestinum. Its description in RNAcentral is "eukaryotic LSU rRNA". The stretch from base 199 to 352 matches the Rfam family "5.8S ribosomal RNA". Lineage: Eukaryota; Fungi; Basidiomycota; Agaricomycetes; Agaricales; Entolomataceae. The record is from RNAcentral.